AAGUUCCCUUUAUUUUUUUUUUCUUUUUCCUUCUUCAAUUUGCAGAGAACUUCUAAGAGAGAGUUUGGAAGAAGAAGAGAAAUUUUACUAGAAUUUUGAGGUUGAAGAAGAGGAGAAGAACUCAAGCAAAGUGUAUCAAUGGCUGAAUUUUAGUUCAUUCUGCACAUCACUGGUUUUUAAUUCGGUUUGAACUCUUCAAAAGGAAUUAAGAGGGCAGUUGGUUUUCACUCGAAAUCAGGAGGUCUCUAGGUUUUCUUGUAUUUCAGAGUGUAUCGGUGGAGUUAGAAUCUCUAUUUGGAACAAGUUAAAGAGGUCGUGUGCGCGCGAUUCUGAAAGUGGUUCUGUUUUGAGGGUUAUAUGUGUUUAUGCACGGGGAAUCAGAUUUAUAUGUCUUCAGGCCGAGAAGAAUUAAACCGAGCUUAUAGACCAAGGAUCUAGCCCAAGACUGUAGAGAUCGACUUCCCGGUGCCUGAUAGAUUGCCUUAGUCUGCGGAAGCUUCAUUAUCGAUUGCCAGUACUUGUUUUGAGUUGGGCAUAAAGUCUGUUGUGUUGUGAUGUAUUCACACCCUUGUAUGUUAUUGAUACUCCACAGUUUGUAUAAGCUUUAGGAGCUGUAGUUGUGUAAAUUUUGUUGGUUAUAUUUUGAUUAAGGUGUCUUUAGGUUUACUCGUGAAAUCGGUAAAUUUUGAGGUACACUUCAUGUAUGUGUUUGACUAGCUGUGUUUGACUAGCCUAGGAUCCGCUGUGUUUUGUGGCAUGUACAAUAGUUUAUAUACUAGAUUGGCAAGUUCAUCACAUGAAAGUUUUAAGCAGAGUCGACGAUACAGGUAUAGAAAAACGUUGUUCGUCGGCUUCACGCCAUCUUUCGGUCUAAGGUAGCAGGUAGUCCGAGAAGGGGUGUGACAAAAGCUCAAUUUGAUCGUCAAGUAUGUAAGCUCAGGAAGACUUUGUACAGUUUGAAAAAAUUCCCAAUAGCGUGGUUCAACAUGUUUACUACAUUUGUUAAGUCCCAAGAAGAUGAUACAGUUGAGAUCACCUGGCUAAAAAGAAAAUGUCCUUGGAAUGGAGGUGACAAGAUCAAGGGAGGGAUCUUUAUCUCACAACGCAAAUACACCAUUGACCGGUUAAAAUAAACAGGUAAAGGUCUGAUGUCCAAGAAAACUUAAAGGAAAUGCAUUGAGACUUAUGCCGGACUUCGAUUGGGCAGGAUCGAUUAUUGACAACAAAUCUACCUCUGAGCAUUAUACCUUGGAGAAGUAAGAAGCAAAGUGUUGUUGUUAGAAGCAUUAUUGAAGCUGAAUAGCUAUGAGUUUGGGAAUCUGUGAAGAAAUCUGGUAGAAGGAAGUUUUGGGUGAUCUUCUUCAAGAUAGUGUUUUACCUGUGAACCUUUACUGUGGUAAAAAGGCGCUUAUGAGCAUAGUCAAUUGUUAUAAUAUGUGUUUAUAUUCUAAUUAUGUAUAGUCACCCUUCACUGUAAUUUUACAUUUCCUAAAUUAGGGUUUUUUAGUUGCCUAUAUAUAUGUAUCUUCCCUUUUAUUAGAGAAUAAGAUCAUUAUAUUCUCCACAAGUACAAAGUACAUGGUAUCAGAGCAUCUAGAGUUUGGAAAUAUUAGUUUGACCACUUCACUCUCCAUUAGGGUUUAAAUUUAGGUCAUCUUCGAGUGGUUGUUUGUCAAUACCGCCCAUCUCAAGAGGAGCACCAUCGUCCUCCUCCUAAGUCUGUCUCUAUGAUGAGUAUUCUGUCUCUUCACAUUGGCGUGUGAGAGCGCGUGGAAGCUACAUUUUUGUUUUCAUCCAUUGAGUUCAUCUCAGUUUGCAUUUUUCGACAAGUCUAUGCAUUUGGUAUCGUUGAAAUCUACUCAGGGUGUGAAGUUAUUCGAAAAUAUCCUCUUGUGCUUAGGGUUUGUUCUUGUUUUUGUAUCAAUUUGGAGUUGUUAUGCUUUUCAGUUUAACCUUGAUUUCAUUUUUUAUUUGUUAUUUUUCACUUGUGACAUCUACAACCUAUUGGUUAGCUUGUAA
Molecule: long non-coding RNA, 2019 nt
Organism: Cucumis melo (muskmelon)
Lineage: Eukaryota; Viridiplantae; Streptophyta; Magnoliopsida; Cucurbitales; Cucurbitaceae
Exons: 8
Source: RefSeq, a predicted model, not a curated record